Molecule: ribosomal RNA, 397 nt
Filed under: uncultured bacterium
Lineage: Bacteria
Description: partial 16S ribosomal RNA
Rfam family: Bacterial small subunit ribosomal RNA
Source: RNAcentral
AUACGUAGGGGGCGAGCGUUGUCCGGAAUGAUUGGGCGUAAAGGGCGCGUAGGCGGCGCGGUAAGUCUGGAGUGAAAGUCCUGCUUUCAAGGUGGGAAUUGCUUUGGAUACUGCCGCGCUUGAGUGCAGGUGAGGUUAUCGGAAUUCCCGGUGUAGCGGUGAAAUGCGUAGAGAUUGGGAGGAACACCAGUGGCGAAGGCGACUUACUGGACUGUAACUGACGCUGAGGCGCGAAAGUGUGGGGAGCAAACAGGAUUAGAUACCCUGGUAGUCCACACUGUAAACGAUGAAUGCCAGGUGUAGGGGGUAUCGACCCCUUCUGUGCCGCAGUCAACACAAUAAGCAUUCCGCCUGGGGAGUACGGCCGCAAGGUUGAAACUCAAAGGAAUUGACGGGG